GAUGAACGCUGGCGGCGUGCCUAAUACAUGCAAGUCGAGCGAACGGACGAGAAGCUUGCUUCUCUGAUGUUAGCGGCGGACGGGUGAGUAACACGUGGAUAACCUACCUAUAAGACUGGGAUAACUUCGGGAAACCGGAGCUAAUACCAGAUGAUAUUUUGAACCGCAUGGUUCAAAAGUGAAAGACGGUCUUGCUGUCACUUAUAGAUGGAUCCGCGCUGCAUUAGCUAGUUGGUAAGGUAACGGCUUACCAAGGCAACGAUGCAUAGCCGACCUGAGAGGGUGAUCGGCCACACUGGAACUGAGACACGGUCCAGACUCCUACGGGAGGCAGCAGUAGGGAAUCUUCCGCAAUGGGCGAAAGCCUGACGGAGCAACGCCGCGUGAGCGAUGAAGGUCUUCGGAUCGUAAAACUCUGUUAUUAGGGAAGAACAUAUGUGUAAGUAACUGUGCACAUCUUGACGGUACCUAAUCAGAAAGCCACGGCUAACUACGUGCCAGCAGCCGCGGUAAUACGUANGUGGNCAGCGUUAUCCGGGAAUAUUGGGCGUNAAGCGCGCGUAGCGGUUUUUUAGUCUGAUGUGAAAGCCCACGGCUCAACCGUGGAGGGUCAUUGGAAACUGGAAAACUUGAGUGCAGAAGAGGAAAGUGGAAUUCCAUGUGUAGCGGUGAAAUGCGCAGAGAUAUGGAGGAACACCAGUGGCGAAGGCGACUUUCUGGUCUGUAACUGACGCUGAUGUGCGAAAGCGUGGGGAUCAAACAGGAUUAGAUACCCUGGUAGUCCACGCCGUAAACGAUGAGUGCUAAGUGUUAGGGGGUUUCCGCCCCUUAGUGCUGCAGCUAACGCAUUAAGCACUCCGCCUGGGGAGUACGACCGCAAGGUUGAAACUCAAAGGAAUUGACGGGGACCCGCACAAGCGGUGGAGCAUGUGGUUUAAUUCGAAGCAACGCGAAGAACCUUACCAAAUCUUGACAUCCUUUGACAACUCUAGAGAUAGAGCCUUCCCCUUCGGGGGACAAAGUGACAGGUGGUGCAUGGUUGUCGUCAGCUCGUGUCGUGAGAUGUUGGGUUAAGUCCCGCAACGAGCGCAACCCUUAAGCUUAGUUGCCAUCAUUAAGUUGGGCACUCUAAAUUGACUGCCGGUGACAAACCGGAGGAAGGUGGGGAUGACGUCAAAUCAUCAUGCCCCUUAUGAUUUGGGCUACACACGUGCUACAAUGGACAAUACAAAGGGCAGCGAAACCGCGAGGUCAAGCAAAUCCCAUAAAGUUGUUCUCAGUUCGGAUUGUAGUCUGCAACUCGACUACAUGAAGCUGGAAUCGCUAGUAAUCGUAGAUCAGCAUGCUACGGUGAAUACGUUCCCGGGUCU
RNAcentral lists this ribosomal RNA (1370 nucleotides) under uncultured bacterium. RNAcentral describes it as "bacterial SSU rRNA". It matches the Rfam family "Bacterial small subunit ribosomal RNA", at positions 28 to 1381 of the family's 1533-position model. The record is from RNAcentral.